CAAAGAAAAAGUGUGAUUUUUCAAGGAAUCAAGUGUUUAAAGGUGGUGAGCUAUCUGAUACGGGUAAAAGACUACACCCGAGGACCGAGAAUAGGAGUAUAUCUACUCCUAGUACAGCUCAGAAUAGGCAAUAGACUGUCAAUUGCAUCGAGAAGU
This is a non-coding RNA of Theobroma cacao (cacao), 156 nucleotides long. The record is from RefSeq and is a predicted model, not a curated record. Lineage: Eukaryota; Viridiplantae; Streptophyta; Magnoliopsida; Malvales; Malvaceae.